CCUACGGGAGGCCGCAGUGAGGAAUAUUGGUCAAUGGACGAGAGUCUGAACCAGCCAAGUAGCGUGAAGGAUGACUGCCCUAUGGGUUGUACACUUCUUUUAUAUGGGAAUAAAAUGUUCCACGUGUGCGAUUUUGUAUGUACCUUAUGAAUAAGGAUCGGCUAACUCCGUGCCAGCAGCCGCGGUAAUACGGAGGAUCCGAGCGUUAUCCGGAUUUAUUGGGUGUAAAGGGAGCGUAGGUGGUUUGUUAAGUCAGUUGUGAAAGCUUGCGGCUCAACCGUAAAAUUUCAGUUGAAACUGGCAGUCUUGAGUACAGUAGAGGUGGGCGGAAAUCGUGGUGUAGCGGUGAAAAG
This 353-nucleotide ribosomal RNA is filed under the name uncultured bacterium. RNAcentral's name for it is "partial 16S ribosomal RNA". It matches the Rfam family "Bacterial small subunit ribosomal RNA", at positions 338 to 688 of the family's 1533-position model. The record is from RNAcentral.